This 404-nucleotide ribosomal RNA is filed under the name uncultured bacterium. RNAcentral's name for it is "bacterial SSU rRNA". It matches the Rfam family "Bacterial small subunit ribosomal RNA", at positions 28 to 423 of the family's 1533-position model. The record is from RNAcentral.
GACGAACGCUGGCGGCGUGCUUAACACAUGCAAGUGGAGCGACGAACCGGGGCUUGCCCCGGGGCAGAGCCGCGAACGGGUGAGUAACACGUGGGUAACCUGCCCUGUUGAUUGGGACAACCCCGGGAAACCGGGGCUAAUACCAAAUGUGCUCGGGCCACAUCAGUGGCUUUGAGGAAAGGAGGCUUCGGCUUCCGCAACGGGAUGGGCCCGCGGCCCAUUAGCUAGUUGGUGUGGGUAACGGCCCACCAAGGCUUCGAUGGGUAGCUGGUCUGAGAGGACGAUCAGCCACACUGGGACUGAGACACGGCCCAGACUCCUACGGGAGGCAGCAGUGGGGAAUCUUGCGCAAUGCGCGAAAGCGUGACGCAGCAACGCCGCGUGAGGGAAGACGGCCUUCGGUU